CAACUUUCAGCAACGGAUCUCUUGGCUCUCGCAUCGAUGAAGAACGCAGCGAAAUGCGAUAAGUAAUGUGAAUUGCAGAAUUCAGUGAAUCAUCGAAUCUUUGAACGCACCUUGCGCUCCUUGGUAUACCGAGGAGCAUGCCUGUUUGAGUGUCAUUA
RNAcentral lists this ribosomal RNA (158 nucleotides) under uncultured Dermocybe. RNAcentral describes it as "5.8S ribosomal RNA". It matches the Rfam family "5.8S ribosomal RNA". From Rfam's summary of the family: 5.8S ribosomal RNA (5.8S rRNA) is a component of the large subunit of the eukaryotic ribosome. It is transcribed by RNA polymerase I as part of the 45S precursor that also contains 18S and 28S rRNA. The record is from RNAcentral. Lineage: Eukaryota; Fungi; Basidiomycota; Agaricomycetes; Agaricales; Cortinariaceae.